This 939-nucleotide ribosomal RNA is filed under the name uncultured bacterium. RNAcentral's name for it is "bacterial SSU rRNA". It matches the Rfam family "Bacterial small subunit ribosomal RNA", at positions 116 to 1036 of the family's 1533-position model. The record is from RNAcentral.
CGCACGCAUCCCUGUUAGUGGGGGGAACGUUCGGAACGGACGCUAAUACCGCAUACGUCCUACGGGAGAAAGCAGGGGACCUUCGGGCCUUGCGCUAUCAGAUGAGCCUAGGUCGGAUUAGCUAGUUGGUGAGGUAAUGGCUCACCAAGGCUACGAUCCGUAACUGGUCUGAGAGGAUGAUCAGCCACACCGGGACUGAGACACGGCCCGGACUCCUACGGGAGGCAGCAGUGGGGAAUAUUGGACAAUGGGGGAAACCCUGAUCCAGCCAUGCCGCGUGUGUGAAGAAGGCCUUUUGGUUGUAAAGCACUUUAAGCAGUGAAGAAGACUCCAUGGUUAAUACCCAUGGACGAUGACAUUAGCUGCAGAAUAAGCACCGGCUAACUCUGUGCCAGCAGCCGCGGUAAUACAGAGGGUGCAAGCGUUAAUCGGAAUUACUGGGCGUAAAGGGAGCGUAGGUGGCUCUAUAAGUCAGAUGUGAAAUCCCCGGGCUUAACCUGGGAACUGCAUCUGAAACUGUAGAGCUAGAGUAUGUGAGAGGAAGGUAGAAUUCCAGGUGUAGCGGUGAAAUGCGUAGAGAUCUGGAGGAAUACCGAUGGCGAAGGCAGCCUUCUGGCAUAAUACUGACACUGAGGCUCGAAAGCGUGGGUAGCAAACAGGAUUAGAUACCCUGGUAGUCCACGCCGUAAACGAUGUCUUACUAGUCGUUGGGUCCCUUGAGGACUUUAGUGACGCAGCCUAACGCAAAUAAAUUAGACCGCCUGGGGAGUACGGCCGGCAAGGUUAAAACUCAAAUGAAUUGACGGGGGGCCCCGCACAAGCCGGUGGAGCAUUGUGGUUUAAUUCGAUGGCAACGCGAAGAACUCUUACCCGGGUCUUUGACAAUAAUCUAGAAUCCUGCAAAGAUGCGGGGAGGUGCCCUUCGGGAAUUUAGAAUAA